UCCUACGGGAGGCAGCAGUAGGGAAUCUUCGGCAAUGGACGGAAGUCUGACCGAGCAACGCCGCGUGAGUGAAGAAGGUUUUCGGAUCGUAAAGCUCUGUUGUAAGAGAAGAACGAGUGUGAGAGUGGAAAGUUCACACUGUGACGGUAUCUUACCAGAAAGGGACGGCUAACUACGUGCCAGCAGCCGCGGUAAUACGUAGGUCCCGAGCGUUGUCCGGAUUUAUUGGGCGUAAAGCGAGCGCAGGCGGUUAGAUAAGUCUGAAGUUAAAGGCUGUGGCUUAACCAUAGUAGGCUUUGGAAACUGUUUAACUUGAGUGCAAGAGGGGAGAGUGGAAUUCCAUGUGUAGCGGUGAAAUGCGUAGAUAUAUGGAGGAACACCGGUGGCGAAAGCGGCUCUCUGGCUUGUAACUGACGCUGAGGCUCGAAAGCGUGAGGAGCAAACAGGAUUAGAUACCCUGGUAGUCCACGCUGUAAACGAUGAGUGCUAG
RNAcentral lists this ribosomal RNA (490 nucleotides) under uncultured bacterium. RNAcentral's name for it is "bacterial SSU rRNA". It matches the Rfam family "Bacterial small subunit ribosomal RNA", at positions 337 to 819 of the family's 1533-position model. The record is from RNAcentral.